GAGCUCGUAGGCGGUUUGUCGCGUCUGCUGUGAAAUCCCGAGGCUCAACCUCGGGUCUGCAGUGGGUACGGGCAGACUAGAGUGUGGUAGGGGAGAUUGGAAUUCCUGGUGUAGCGGUGGAAUGCGCAGAUAUCAGGAGGAACACCGAUGGCGAAGGCAGAUCUCUGGGCCAUUACUGACGCUGAGGAGCGAAAGCAUGGGGAGCGAACAGGAUUAGAUACCCUGGUAGUCCAUGCCGUAAACGUUGGGCGCUAGAUGUGGGGACCAUUCCACGGUUUCCGUGUCGUAGCUAACGCAUUAAGCGCCCCGCCUGGGGAGUACGGCCGCAAGGCUAAAACUCAAAGGAAUUGACGGGGGCCCGCACAAGCGGCGGAGCAUGCGGAUUAAUUCGAUGCAACGCGAAGAACCUUACCAAGGCUUGACAUAUACCGGAAACGUUCAGAAAUGUUCGCCCCGCAAGGUCGGUAUACAGGUGGUGCAUGGUUGUCGUCAGCUCGUGUCGUGAGAUGUUGGGUUAAGUCCCGCAACGAGCGCAACCCUCGUCGUAUGUUGCCAGCACGUUAUGGUGGGAACUCAUAUGAGACUGCCGGGGUCAACUCGGAGGAAGGUGGGGAUGACGUCAAAUCAUCAUGCCCCUUAUGUCUUGGGCUUCACGCAUGCUACAAUGGCUGGUACAAUGGGCUGCAAUACCGCGAGGUGGAGCGAAUCCCAAAAAGCCAGUCUCAGUUCGGAUUGGGGUCUGCAACUCGACCCCAUGAAGUCGGAGUCGCUAGUAAUCGCAGAUCAGCAACGCUGCGGUGAAUACGUUCCCGGGCCUUGUACACACCGCCCGUCAAGUCAUGAAAGUCGGUAACACCCGAAGCCGGUGGCCUAACCCUUGUGGAGGGAGCCGUCGAAAGGUGGGAUCGGUAAUUAGGACGAAGUCGUA
RNAcentral lists this ribosomal RNA (928 nucleotides) under Pseudoclavibacter sp. RNAcentral describes it as "bacterial SSU rRNA". It matches the Rfam family "Bacterial small subunit ribosomal RNA", at positions 565 to 1490 of the family's 1533-position model. The record is from RNAcentral. Lineage: Bacteria; Bacillati; Actinomycetota; Actinomycetes; Micrococcales; Microbacteriaceae.